GUACAUUAGAUAUGCAGUGAUGUCUUUUAUUUAUAUGCACUUAGGUGUGCUAUUCAGUAGCGUAUUAGCAGCAAAAGUGAAAAUGCAAUGGUUUUAUUCAUCACAGUCCUUAUAUUUAAAUUUAUUUUCUUAUAUAUGAAGUUCAGCAUGAAAUUCCAUUCAGUAACGGAACAGAGUAAUAUGGAGACAACAAAAUGGUAGUUUUCAUUUGACAUUCCCUUUUGUAAUCCGUUAUUUUUAAUCACAUACAUCAUUUCAAUUGCAUAUGUUUGAAAAUAUUGCAUUGCCCUUAGUUCUUGUUCUCUAAUAUUUAUAGAAUUUUAUAGGAGUUAAAAUAAAUUAGUGUUUUUAAAACAGAUUCACAGAAAAUAAAAAGGGAUUAUCGUGAGAUUUGUAUUUUCUGUGUGUGUGUGUAUAUGUAUGUAUG
Molecule: non-coding RNA, 427 nt
Organism: Pelobates cultripes (western spadefoot toad)
Lineage: Eukaryota; Metazoa; Chordata; Amphibia; Anura; Pelobatidae
Source: the annotation of a GenBank genome assembly